GCCGCGCCCUCGCGUUCAGCUCGGUCCCGCGCCCACCCUCGGCUCGGCGGCGGCUCGUGCCCCGCGCUGGCUGCUGCCAGCCUCUCUCGUGUGUUCCAGCUCUGUGCUGAGGUCCUCAGGGUGUGCAGGGAGCGCCCUCAGAGAGGGAAAAACAAAAAUUAGGCUGAAAUAAGCGGUUCCAGCCCUGCGUGGGAGCUGGGGCUGGCAAACAGAGGCUGCCAGAAGCCAAAUUUGGGAAGAUGGAUGCUGAGAGGUGGCCAAAACCAAAAUCUGCACCAUACAGAAAAGUUCAACAGGCGGGUAUCGAUUUCAAAGACACUUUCAUCAGAAGAGAUUUGUCAGCCGUCGGAUGGAAUUUCUGGUCGCGACCAGGAGGAGAUGGCAAGGUUGGAGUAUCAGGUAGCGCCACCGGCGGGGAACUCACCUGGAAUGUGGAAAAUCAAGGUUCAGGCCUAGGGACUUGAACGUG
Long non-coding RNA from Lagopus muta (rock ptarmigan), 469 nucleotides. RefSeq lists it as uncharacterized. The transcript has 3 exons. The record is from RefSeq and is a predicted model, not a curated record. Lineage: Eukaryota; Metazoa; Chordata; Aves; Galliformes; Phasianidae.